This 935-nucleotide small RNA is filed under the name uncultured Armatimonadota bacterium. Its description in RNAcentral is "bacterial SSU rRNA". The stretch from base 1 to 489 matches the Rfam family "Bacterial small subunit ribosomal RNA", at positions 1045 to 1533 of the family's 1533-position model. Lineage: Bacteria; Bacillati; Armatimonadota. The record is from RNAcentral.
AUGGCUGUCGUCAGCUCGUGUCGUGAGAUGUUGGGUUAAGUCCCGCAACGAGCGCAACCCUCACCCAAUGUUGCCAGCGUAAAGUCGGGAACUCUUUGGGAACUGCCCGUGUAAGCGGGAGGAAGGUGGGGAUGACGUCAAAUCGGCAUGGCCCUUACACCCUGGGCUUGACACAUGCUACAAUGGCCGUUGAACAGAGCGACGCGAUACCGCGAGGUGGAGCCAAUCGCAAAAAUACGGUCUCAGUUCAGAUUGCAGGCUGCAACUCGCCUGCAUGAAGUCGGAAUCGCUAGUAACCGCAGGUCAGCUAAACUGCGGUGAAUACGUUCCCGGGCCUUGUACACACCGCCCGUCACACCACGAAAGUUGGUAACACCCGAAGCCGGUGGCCUAACCCUCGGGAGGGAGCCGUCGAAGGUGGGAUCAGCGAUUGGGGUGAAGUCGUAACAAGGUAGCCGUACCGGAAGGUGCGGCUGGAUCACCUCCUUCCUAAGGAGCUCACUGCCUGGAAUUAUCACAAUUCCAGGAACUCCUACGUCGAUCACUGGUCAGCUGGCAUUCGGCCAAUUCCGACCCCCUCAGCCUCGGCUGAACGGCACCACCGGGACCCGGAUUGCCGGCGUGCGCGUCACUGUUCCGUUUUGAGGGAGCGGUCGCUCGGGCUUCUCGCCCGGAGGCUGCUACCUCGAGGCCAGAUCCGCCCCCGCCGCCCCGCAUUGCGGGGCGGGCGCGCGGACGACUUCAACGCCCCUUGAGAACCGCAGAGCGAGCACGAGCAUCUAGCAAACAGUGCAAGACGAAAAUCCCAAGCUAUAAAGAGCCAACGGUGGAUGCCUUGGCGCCAGAUGCCGAUGAAGGACGUGGGUGGCUGCGAAAAGCCACGGUGAGCUGCCGACCAAGCAUUGACCCGUGGAUCUCCGAAUGGGGAAACCCGG